RNAcentral lists this non-coding RNA (551 nucleotides) under Alternaria compacta. RNAcentral describes it as "eukaryotic LSU rRNA". The stretch from base 171 to 324 matches the Rfam family "5.8S ribosomal RNA". Lineage: Eukaryota; Fungi; Ascomycota; Dothideomycetes; Pleosporales; Pleosporaceae. The record is from RNAcentral. RNAcentral also lists the same sequence under 1 other name.
CAUUACACAAAUAUGAAGGCGGGCUGGAACCUCUCGGGGUUACAGCCUUGCUGAAUUAUUCACCCUUGUCUUUUGCGUACUUCUUGUUUCCUUGGUGGGUUCGCCCACCACUAGGACAACCAUAAACCUUUUGUAAUUGCAAUCAGCGUCAGUAACAAAUUAAUAAUUACAACUUUCAACAACGGAUCUCUUGGUUCUGGCAUCGAUGAAGAACGCAGCGAAAUGCGAUAAGUAGUGUGAAUUGCAGAAUUCAGUGAAUCAUCGAAUCUUUGAACGCACAUUGCGCCCUUUGGUAUUCCAAAGGGCAUGCCUGUUCGAGCGUCAUUUGUACCCUCAAGCUUUGCUUGGUGUUGGGCGUCUUGUCUCUAGCUUUGCUGGAGACUCGCCUUAAAGUAAUUGGCAGCCGGCCUACUGGUUUCGGAGCGCAGCACAAGUCGCACUCUCUAUCAGCAAAGGUCUAGCAUCCAUUAAGCCUUUUUUUCAACUUUUGACCUCGGAUCAGGUAGGGAUACCCGCUGAACUUAAGCAUAUCAAUAAGCGGAGGAAAGUAA